Molecule: ribosomal RNA, 265 nt
Filed under: uncultured archaeon
Lineage: Archaea
Description: partial 16S ribosomal RNA
Rfam family: Archaeal small subunit ribosomal RNA
Source: RNAcentral
ACACGACUACAUUAGAUACCCGGGUAGUCCUAGCCGUAAACGAUACUCGCUAGGUGUCGGCCACGGUGCGACCGUUGUCGGUGCCGUAGGGAGGCCGUGAAGCGAGCCACCUGGGAAGUACGGCCGCAAGGCUGAAACUUAAAGGAAUUGGCGGGGGAGCACAACAACGGGUGGAGCUUGCGGUUUAAUUGGAUUCAACGCCGGAAAUCUUACCGGGACCGACAGCAACAUGAAGGCCAAGCUGAAGACUUUGCCGGAUUAGCUG